CACGCGCUCCUCACGUUUCGGCUAUGCUUGUACGUCCCUUGAGGAAAGAGCACCCGCGCACGCCUUCGCUCUCGUUUCCGGUGCCGAAUUCGAGAAAAUGCACAGGCACAACGACCUAAACCCAGCGCCCAUCACAGCAGACUACUCGAGCAGCACACCACCUGUCGCUCAAGGAUAGACUUUCCGGCGCUGCCGAGCCCCGAAUGGGGCACGUGCGAGCUACACAGGCUGCACAGCAAUCGAAAAGCCACUAUUGCCGAACGCGCGGCGGAGCUGUCGAAGCUGUUCGGCAAGUGCCCUCAGUACGAUGAACGCGCUCCUGAGCCGAUCUCGGCCUCCAGAAGUAGACCAUCUUCGGAGUGCCGCAUGCGUAGCGUGUUGCUGAGGCAGAAGCCCAAGGCAACCUUUUACCUACUGGAGACAGUUGCGCGUAGCCGCGGCACCAAGAACGUCUCCGGCGCACACUAAUUCAUUGAUCCAGCGGCGGCACGUGACAGCCGUAGGUCAGCGGAGGGAGACGUCUCCACGUAGUGUUCGUGUUCCCGUAGCCUACGAUCCAAUAGGCCGUCGAGAAUGGCGGGAGGCGGCCCAUGCACUCCUCGAAAGUUCAGAGCUGGAAAAGGGGGGCCAUACUGCUCCGUGUCCGUGCAGUCACGGCAUUCGUUGUCUAUUGAGUGCGGUUGUACUGGCAGCAGUCGCGUCUGUGUAGAAAAAAAAAAACAGAACGAAGAGCCCUCUUUUCACGAGGCACGACAGAUGCGAGUCUGCA
This 769-nucleotide unclassified non-coding RNA is filed under the name Leishmania donovani. RNAcentral's name for it is "gene:unknown". Lineage: Eukaryota; Euglenozoa; Kinetoplastea; Trypanosomatida; Trypanosomatidae. The record is from RNAcentral.